UAACCAGGAUUUCCCUAGUAACGGCGAGCGAACCGGAAAGAGCCCAGCUUGAAAAUCGGGGCGCCUCGCGCCUCGAAUUGUAGUCUGGAGAAGCUACCUCUGCGUUGCCUCGGACCCAAGUUCUCUGGAAAGGGACGUCUCAGAGGGUGACAACCCCGUCGAGUUCGAAGCGUGCCGCUCCACGAUUGGCUGUCUGCGAGUCGGGCUGUUUGGGAAUGCAGCCCUAAGUGGGUGGUAAAUUCCAUCCAAGGCUAAAUAUGGGCAAGAGACCGAUAGCGAACAAGUACCGCGAGGGAAAGAUGAAAAGGACUUUGAAAAGAGAGUUAAAAAGUGCUUGAAAUUGCUGGGAGGGAAGCGAAUGGAAGCUGCGGGUGUGCCCCGGUUGGAUGCGGAACGGCCUUCAAAAUCUGGUCCGCCGCUCAACGCGGGGCGCUGGUCAGCGUGGGCCGUCGCGGCGGGACAAGAGCGGGGAUUCGCUUCCCGCCUAUGCCGUUGCGGCGGCCGAGGAACGAAGCGCGCGCCUCCCCUUUCUUAGGCCGGCGUGGGGCCCUGCCCCAACUGCGCGCUCGGGACGCUGGCGUAUUGAGCUCUUCAUCCGACCCGUCUUGAAACACGGACCAAGGAGUCUAACAUGUAUGCGAGCCGGUGGGCGGCAAACCCAUUGAGGCGCAAGUAAACUGACAGGUGGGACCCGAAAGGAGCACCAUCGACCGACCGUGAUCUUCUGUGAAAGGUUUGAGUGUGAGCAUACCUGUUGGGACCCGAAAGAUGGUGAACUAUGCCUGAGCAGGGCGAAGCCAGAGGAAACUCUGGUGGAGGCUCGUAGCGAUACUGACGUGCAAAUCGUUCGUCAGACUUGGGUAUAGGGGCGAAAGACUAAUCGAACCAUCUAGUAGCUGGUUCCCUCCGAAGUUUCCCUCAGGAUAGCUGGAGCUCGUGUAUUAAGUUUUAUCAGGUAAAGCGAAUGAUUAGAGGCAUCGGGGGUGUAACACCCUCGACCUAUUCUCAAACUUUAAAUAGGUAAGCCGCCGGGGUUGCUUGGUUGAACCCCGGCACAGAAUGA
This 1063-nucleotide ribosomal RNA is filed under the name Leiomela bartramioides. RNAcentral describes it as "eukaryotic LSU rRNA". It matches the Rfam family "Eukaryotic large subunit ribosomal RNA", at positions 66 to 1115 of the family's 3401-position model. Lineage: Eukaryota; Viridiplantae; Streptophyta; Bryopsida; Bartramiales; Bartramiaceae. The record is from RNAcentral.